UUACUAAAAAAAUUUAUGUCUAGUGCAAACUAUAGUAUGUUUAUAUAAAAAAUUAAUCACUAACUUACAAGGAUUCCAUCAAUGUAAGUACAUUCUGCUAUGUCAAUAUCCCUAACAUGUACCAUUUCCAUGCAUUCUUGCGGGAAAACGGUGACGAAAAAACCCACGUUAUAUUGAGUCGUUGGGACAUUAAACGAGUUAUUCAAAGCCAUAGGUCUACAAUUUGCUUUCAUUCAUGGUUGUUAAUACUGUGUGUUUUUUAUUUUCAGGAAAGGCAACCAUCAAAGAAAUUGUAGUCUUAAAACAAUUUUUUUGAGCAGGAACAAAUAAGAAUUUCUUGUGGUUGUAUGUUUACACUCACGGCAAUUAUUGGCAAAUGUCUGCAGCCAGACAAACACAUCAUCAGAUACUACAACCUAUCAUUGCCUUAAUGAAAAAUUUGAAGAUUUCAAAUUACGCCAUUAGGCAAAAGAAAAAGCAAGGAGGGUCACCAACCCCAGAGAAAUGUGUGGUCUUUGAAGAACUUGGAGCUAUUAAUUUGGUAAGUGACAUCUCGGCCUACAAGACGACGGGGUGUACAAGACGACGCCCAAAAUUCCAUUUAAAAGAGGUUGUGGGGGCCCUGGUGGGUGCCCAGGGAUACUGUCCUGGACCAAGUGGAUAUAUCUUAAGCAACAGGUGGACUAAAAUGCUUCCUCCCAAGGAUUCAAAGUUCAUUAUAAAUAAUUCAUUUACUUGGGUAGUGGAAAAGAUUAUUCUCUUUGUUUAGGAGACUACCUAUUACAUAACAGACAGUCCAUCCCCUACCCAAACUAUGGGUAAUCUUUACAACCUAUAAAGGGCCGUGACUUUUUUCAUAAAACUCCUUUAAUCGGCCUUCUCCUACAAGGAAAAGUGACCCUUUGGCAUCAUGGACUUCACGUAACGGCAGAGAAAAUGUGCUGGUGGUGACAGAUGUGUGUUCUGGGCAUUCACCACACGGGAUCAGAAGGUGGACUAAAAGGCUUCGUCUCUAGGAUUCAAGGCUAAUUAUAGAAAAUUUGUUUUACUUGAUUAGGAGAAAAGAUUAUUCUUUGUUUGAAGUACCUACAGUCUACGUGGAAAAAAAAUAAAAUCAUGGAAAGGCAACCAUCAAAGAAAUUGUAGUCUUAAAACAAUUUUUUUGAGCAGGAACAAAUAAGAAUUUCUUGUGGUUGUAUGUUUACACUCACGGCAAUUAUUGGCAAAUGUCUGCAGCCAGACAAACACAUCAUCAGAUACUACAACCUAUCAUUGCCUUAAUGAAAAAUUUGAAGAUUUCAAAUUACGCCAUUAGGCAAAAGAAAAAGCAAGGAGGGUCACCAACCCCAGAGAAAUGUGUGGUCGUUGAAGAACUUGGAGCUAUUAAUUUGGUAAGUGACAUCUCGGCCUACAAGACGACGGGGUGUACAAGACGACGCCCAAAAUUCCAUUUAAAAGAGGUUGUGGGGGCCCUGGUGGGUGCCCAGGGAUACUGUCCUGGACCAAGUGGAUAUAUCUUAAGCAACAGGUCAGUGGCUCACUUGUCAUAUGACUUGCCCUCAAAGAAUUAGUUAAGGUUAGUCCACUUAAUCAUCCUUAUUAAGUCUAUUUAGCUUUGGUUGCAAAUUUUGGUCAUAAAUGCUAUAAUAUCUCCAGUAGCUGGAAUUCUCCGAUACCCGGAAUAGAAAUUUGUUCAGAAAUUUCCGGAUUAUUCAAGGUCUAGAUGUACAGCUAGACCCUGACUUACGACGGGGUUAGGGACCCAAAUCCAGGUCGUAAGUCCGACGUAGAUAAAUAAAAAACAUAAAA
RNAcentral lists this unclassified non-coding RNA (1809 nucleotides) under Homarus americanus (American lobster). RNAcentral describes it as "uncharacterized LOC121863064, transcript variant X1". Lineage: Eukaryota; Metazoa; Arthropoda; Malacostraca; Decapoda; Nephropidae. The record is from RNAcentral.